Molecule: ribosomal RNA, 253 nt
Filed under: uncultured bacterium
Lineage: Bacteria
Description: partial 16S ribosomal RNA
Rfam family: Bacterial small subunit ribosomal RNA
Source: RNAcentral
UACAGAGGGUGCGAGCGUUAAUCGGAAUUACUGGGCGUAAAGCGCACGUAGUCGGCUUGUUAAGUCGGGUGUGAAAUCCCCGGGCUCAACCUGGGAACUGCAUCCGAAACUGACUUGCUAGAGUAUGGGAGAGGGAAGCGGAAUUUCUGGUGUAGCAGUGAAAUGCGUAGAUAUCAGAAGGAACAUCAGUGGCGAAUGCGACUUCCUGGACCAAUACUGACGAUCAGGUGCGAAAGCGUUGGGAGCAUGCAGG